AGAGGUGAUCUUUUCCUCACUAAUCCAAGUAUCUGUCUUCCAAAGCUGUGUGCUUGGUGGAAGAGAACUACCUUUGCAGUUAAGAACAACUUUUCCCUAGUCUGGGGGGGAAAAUU
Molecule: non-coding RNA, 116 nt
Organism: Chlorocebus sabaeus (green monkey)
Lineage: Eukaryota; Metazoa; Chordata; Mammalia; Primates; Cercopithecidae
Rfam family: 7SK RNA
About the family: 7SK was discovered as an abundant small nuclear RNA in the mid-70s but a possible function has only recently been suggested. Two independent studies have found that 7SK RNA binds the CDK9/cyclin T complex (known as elongation factor P-TEFb). P-TEFb activates transcription by phosphorylating the C-terminal domain of RNA polymerase II.
Source: Rfam